UACGGGGGGAGCAAGCGUUGUUCGGAUUUACUGGGCGUAAAGGGCUCGUAGGCGGCCAACUAAGUCGGACGUGAAAUCCCUCAGCUUAACUGGGGAACUGCGUCCGAUACUGGAUGGCUUGGAUUUGGGAGAGGGAUGCGGAAUUCCAGGUGUAGUGGUGAAAUGCGUAGAGAUCCGGAGGAACCCCAGAGGCGAAGGCGGCGCCCUGGCUCGCAACUGACGCUCAGACACGACAGCAUGGGGAGCGAACGGG
Molecule: ribosomal RNA, 253 nt
Filed under: uncultured bacterium
Lineage: Bacteria
Description: partial 16S ribosomal RNA
Rfam family: Bacterial small subunit ribosomal RNA
Source: RNAcentral